GACGAACGCUGGCGGCGUGCUUAACACAUGCAGGUCGAACGGAAAGGCCCUGCUUUUGUGGGGUGCUCGAGUGGCGAACGGGUGAGUAACACGUGAGUAACCUGCCCUUGACUUUGGGAUAACUUCAGGAAACUGGGGCUAAUACCGGAUAGGAGCUCCUGCUGCAUGGUGGGGGUUGGAAAGUUUCGGCGGUUGGGGAUGGACUCGCGGCUUAUCAGCUUGUUGGUGGGGUAGUGGCUUACCAAGGCUUUGACGGGUAGCCGGCCUGAGAGGGUGACCGGCCACAUUGGGACUGAGAUACGGCCCAGACCCCUACGGGAGGCAGCAGUGGGGAAUAUUGCACAAUGGGCGGAAGCCUGAUGCAGCAACGCCGCGUGCGGGAUGACGGCCUUCGGGUUGUAAACCGCUUUCGCCUGUGACGAAGCGUGAGUGACGGUAAUGGGUAAAGAAGCACCGGCUAACUACGUG
Molecule: ribosomal RNA, 468 nt
Filed under: uncultured bacterium
Lineage: Bacteria
Description: partial 16S ribosomal RNA
Rfam family: Bacterial small subunit ribosomal RNA
Source: RNAcentral